GGAACGAACGCUGGCGGCGUGGAUUAGGCAUGCAAGUCGAACGCGAAAGAGGGGGGGGUAACUCCCCUCUAGUAGAGUGGCGAACGGGUGAGUAACGCGUGAAGAACCUGCCUUCAACAGGGGGAUAACACUCCCAACGGGGUGCUAAUACCGCAUGAGACCACGGGAUCGCAUGGUCCUGAGGUCAAAGGUGGCCUCUAUUUAUAAGCUACCGGUUGAAGAUGGCUUCGCGUCCCAUUAGCUAGUUGGCGUGUAAAAGACCACCAAGGCGACGAUGGGUA
This 281-nucleotide ribosomal RNA is filed under the name uncultured soil bacterium. RNAcentral's name for it is "partial 16S ribosomal RNA". It matches the Rfam family "Bacterial small subunit ribosomal RNA", at positions 27 to 285 of the family's 1533-position model. The record is from RNAcentral.